Molecule: long non-coding RNA, 2578 nt
Filed under: Physcomitrium patens
Lineage: Eukaryota; Viridiplantae; Streptophyta; Bryopsida; Funariales; Funariaceae
Description: long non-coding RNA (PPAT_LNC007908)
Source: RNAcentral
GUAGAAAAAAAUAAACAAAUAAUAGUACAAUACUGUUUAAGUGUAAGUCUUGUAAUUCGGCCGUUAUUAAUGUAUUGUAAAAUAUACAAAAAGAAAAGAAAAAAGAAAAUGAAAAGUAUAAACUAAAAUUAACCACAGUUGGUCUAGUGUAAUUUUUUCAGUGAUUUAACAAUAUAAUUCAAACAUAAGAUUUAUAGGAGAAUCAAUUUACAAAUUUCAGUAAAAUAUAUACAUAUACAUACAUGUGCACAAAAAAGCACAAAAUGUAUAAAUUAAACAAUUUUUCUAGUAAUCAAUUAAUAGACAUAAAAAAGUGAAAAAUGUUAUUAUCACAAGAUAGAAAGUAGCAAAGCAGUAUGCAAACUUUUGAAGAAGAAGAUUGUAAUAAAAUAAAAUAGAGCAUAUUACACUUGCUUUAUUAAUUUAAAACCAUAAAAAAACAAAUGGAAGUGACAAAUUGACAUGCAUGUAGGCUUACUCCAAGAAUUGUCUUGUGUAUUAGUUUCCAUGGCGAAAUAUUAUAAAACUUGAUUUUUUUUUAGCUUCUAGAAAGUUCUCCACUGAAAAUUAUUAUAUGUCUACUUAAGCAACUUAAGAAAAUGAAGAGGCGAAAUAAAAUUUGCUGGUAAUAUUUUCAGUUCAGAAAAUAAUCGGGUAGUGAUUUAUGGAAAAUUAUAAUGCAAUAUCAAUUGAUACAUAGAAACAUCAGAGGAAAACAAAAACAAAAAGUUAACUAAAAUAAAUAUUGUACUCCAAAGGAUUAAUAUGAAACAUAAAUGAAAAUCAAAUAUAAAAUUGUAUCAUCAGGAAAACGAUAUAAAUUUUGAGGAUUUAAAGACAAGGUUGAAGAAAAUUAGUUUAUGACUAUCAUCAUAUAAUAUCAAAAAGGAUGAGUAUUAUUGUGUGCGAUUAUAAUAUGGAUUCUUUAAGUACUAACAUAUCACUUAGCAAUGAAACUCUUAGAAAAAACGAUAAUUUGUAUACAUAUUUUUAUAUUGUAACAAUGAAAAUAUAACCCUGAAUUAUAAAAGUAGAAGAGCUAUACAGAUAAUUUAAACAUUCAAACCUACAUGCAAUUUUUAAAAUGAGUUUAAGAAAAAUUGCUUUUGAGACUUUAAAAUUAUCAAUUUCAACUUGAAAAUACAUCCUUAUUCCAGUAGAGAAAUUUUCAUUUUGAUCAUGAAAUUUGGGAAAUUAUUUUUAGAUAUUUGGUUGUUCAAGAAAAGAUGUGAUCAUUUGUUACAAAUCAAACUAACCACCCAUAACAUCAAUGAUAUGAUUAUCUUAUAAACAUUUACUCUGAAAAAAAUAAUGAGCACAUGAUAAGAUUGUGAAUAUUGAUGUAGGCAAGCAUGAAGAAAAUAUUAUGAUUAUGUUAAAAAGAUUUUUGACAGAGUUUUAUUUUUUUAUUUUAUUGAUUGUUUGUUUGUUUGUUUGUUUUUUAAGUAUGAUAUUUGAGCAUGAAAUAUUUGGGAUUAAUGAAUUUUACAAUCGAUGGCUGUAAGAAAAUCACAUCUCCUAUAACCCAAAUUUCAAGAUAUUAAGCCAUGAAAAUGACAAUUUGAUUUUCACAAAUAAUGGUAUUUAAAGUAAUCACACACAAAGAAAAAGGAUUCCUCAGAUAUCAAUUCAAAUUAUAAGAAUAAUCACUUAUUGCAAUUUGACAUUGAGCACAUUGCAAUCACAAAUAACAGUGGAAUUGAUAAUGCAAGAGUUUUCAUUGAUGAUAACAACAUGUUGACUUAUUUUUAAUAAUAGACCUUCAAUUUCAAUGAAACUAUGCAAUUAUAGAUUAAUGCAUUUAAUCCAAAGCAACUUUUUUUUUAAAAUUUUUAUCAAAAUACAUCCAUCAGUAUUUUAUUAACUUUACUUUCACCCAUAACAACUUUUUACAAGCAGAUGAAUUGAAAAGAAAACACAUAACAAAUUCAAUACCAUCUAGAGUACCAUCUGAGUAGUUAGUAUUGCUAUUUAUGUACCAUAAACAGUGAAACCUGCACUUUCAUAAAAUGUGAAUUUUAAUUGAUAUCUGUUUAACAAUCUUUGUUUUUAUAUUUAUAUAUGUAUAUAUAUAUAUAUAUAUAUAUAUGUGUGUGUGUGUGUGUGUGUGAGAGAGAGAGAGAGAGAGAGAGGGAGAAUGAGGAUCCUAAAAUUGUGACAAUACUAAAAUUUAUAUUUGAGUAACUUAUUACUUGUUUGUAGCUGUUGCCAUAGAAAAUGCCUUCACAACCAUUGAUGAUUUUUAAAAAUAAUCAAUUUAUACAAAAAGUUAAAAUCACACAAUACAUUUUCAAAGAAAAAAACAACACCACAAUUUACAUGAAUUUGUAUUCAAAAAAACAAUCCUUAAACAUUAUAACACCAUUUUUUUUCUUUCUCAAUUUGAAAGGAUAACAUCCAUAAGAAUACAUACUAAAUAAAUCAUAUAAGCCUACAUACAUAAACACAUUGAUACCUACUCUAUUAGAACUGUAUUUCUAAAAAAAUUACAUUGAACAACGAUUAACUCAUUUUCAUGUCAACAGACAGAUUCUUGUUGAUUGAAAACCUCACUAGACCAAAAAAAACAAAAAAAAAA